GUGGGAAAAUAUGCUAAUAUAUUUAUACUAUUUGUUUGAUACAGCGAUAGAAGACCCGGAUCGUGUGCAUAAAACGUUGCGCUGGAAAUCAAAGGUUUUUAUAGGGUGUGGAUCUGUAGUUUUCUAGUCUAUUUUUUAGAUUGCUCCGACUUUAAAUUCAUCAUGAUCGUUGCGAUGCACUUAGUUUACAUGUCUGUUCAGUGGACUUAAAAAUGGAUGCCCUCGGAAGUCCAAGAACCAAAUACCAGCAAUGACGUUGGAACCAACGUACAAGAUGUACUGUCAACAUCAGCAUGGUUACACCGCAGGCCACGCCCUCCUCCAAUACCAGCAGAAUAGUCAAACCACAGGUCACGCCCUCCAUCAACUCCUACUGAGGAUUUAGACGGGGAUUCGUCCUGUAAAGGAUUUGAAUGCAAACUGAUUUGACUGUUGUUUUGAUAGUCUUAAAUGUGUUCAUUUCGUCUACAGUUGCUUUGGCAGCUCCAUAUUCCACAAUAACUUCGAAAGAUUUUGAAAUCGUUAUAUCGUUACAAGCUUCAUAAGUCCUUGGUUCCAUAUCAAGAUAUGGAAAAGAAGUACAUACGGGGAGUUAUCUUUCUUUCUUCUUGAAAGUUGCUAAAAUGUUUUAUUUUUAUGGAAUGUUGUGAGAAAUAUUGUAACGCUACUGUUUACAGUUAUAUAAAUGUACUAUAUAUUAGCCAUUUAGUAUUUUUUUUUUAAUUUUCGUUUUGAUUGUCUUUCAUAUGUAAUCGUAAAAUAAAUUUGAUGUAAUAAAUAAAAUUGCAAAAUAUACAA
Long non-coding RNA from Ostrea edulis (European flat oyster), 798 nucleotides. RefSeq lists it as uncharacterized. The transcript is spliced from 2 exons. Lineage: Eukaryota; Metazoa; Mollusca; Bivalvia; Ostreida; Ostreidae. The record is from RefSeq and is a predicted model, not a curated record.